RNAcentral lists this ribosomal RNA (685 nucleotides) under Escherichia sp. D1. RNAcentral describes it as "bacterial SSU rRNA". It matches the Rfam family "Bacterial small subunit ribosomal RNA", at positions 794 to 1479 of the family's 1533-position model. RNAcentral also lists the same sequence under 2 other names. Lineage: Bacteria; Pseudomonadati; Pseudomonadota; Gammaproteobacteria; Enterobacterales; Enterobacteriaceae. The record is from RNAcentral.
UCCACGCCGUAAACGAUGUCGACUUGGAGGUUGUGCCCUUGAGGCGUGGCUUCCGGAGCUAACGCGUUAAGUCGACCGCCUGGGGAGUACGGCCGCAAGGUUAAAACUCAAAUGAAUUGACGGGGGCCCGCACAAGCGGUGGAGCAUGUGGUUUAAUUCGAUGCAACGCGAAGAACCUUACCUGGUCUUGACAUCCACGGAAGUUUUCAGAGAUGAGAAUGUGCCUUCGGGAACCGUGAGACAGGUGCUGCAUGGCUGUCGUCAGCUCGUGUUGUGAAAUGUUGGGUUAAGUCCCGCAACGAGCGCAACCCUUAUCCUUUGUUGCCAGCGGUCCGGCCGGGAACUCAAAGGAGACUGCCAGUGAUAAACUGGAGGAAGGUGGGGAUGACGUCAAGUCAUCAUGGCCCUUACGACCAGGGCUACACACGUGCUACAAUGGCGCAUACAAAGAGAAGCGACCUCGCGAGAGCAAGCGGACCUCAUAAAGUGCGUCGUAGUCCGGAUUGGAGUCUGCAACUCGACUCCAUGAAGUCGGAAUCGCUAGUAAUCGUGGAUCAGAAUGCCACGGUGAAUACGUUCCCGGGCCUUGUACACACCGCCCGUCACACCAUGGGAGUGGGUUGCAAAAGAAGUAGGUAGCUUAACCUUCGGGAGGGCGCUUACCACUUUGUGAUUCAUGACUGGG